GAAGCGGGGGGGGGACGUCGGAUAGCGUAUAUUAACGUUGUUGCAGUUAAAAAGCUCGUAGUUGAAGUGUGGGUGAUCGCUAUUGUGAGACUUCGGUCUCUCGAUAGUAAGUCACCCCCUUCCAGUAUCCAGUAGUGGGUAUUCACUUACUUACUAUUGUGUGUUGGUCCUUUACUGUGAGAAAAUUAGAGUGUUCAAAGCAGGCGUUUGCUUGAAUAGAUUAGCAUGGAAUAAUAAUUGAAGGCUUUCGUGUUCGAUUUGAUUGGUUUGUUCAUGGAAGCAAGGUUAAAAGGAACAGUUGGGGGUAUUCAUAUUCACUAGUUAGAGGUGAAAUUCUCGGAUUUAUGGAAGAUGAACAAGUGCGAAAGCAUUUACCAAGGAUGUUUUCAUUAAUCAAGAACGAAAG
This 406-nucleotide ribosomal RNA is filed under the name Blastocystis sp. Its description in RNAcentral is "SSU rRNA". It matches the Rfam family "Eukaryotic small subunit ribosomal RNA", at positions 551 to 989 of the family's 1831-position model. Lineage: Eukaryota; Bigyra; Opalinata; Blastocystidae. The record is from RNAcentral.